GAUGAACGCUGGCGGCGUGCCUAAUACAUGCAAGUCGAGCGAACGGACGAGAAGCUUGCUUCUCUGAUGUUAGCGGCGGACGGGUGAGUAACACGUGGAUAACCUACCUAUAAGACUGGGAUAACUUCGGGAAACCGGAGCUAAUACCGGAUAAUAUUUUGAACCGCAUGGUUCAAAAGUGAAAGACGGUCUUGCUGUCACUUAUAGAUGGAUCCGCGCUGCAUUAGCUAGUUGGUAAGGUAACGGCUUACCAAGGCAACGAUGCAUAGCCGACCUGAGAGGGUGAUCGGCCACACUGGAACUGAGACACGGUCCAGACUCCUACGGGAGGCAGCAGUAGGGAAUCUUCCGCAAUGGGCGAAAGCCUGACGGAGCAACGCCGCGUGAGUGAUGAAGGUCUUCGGAUCGUAAAACUCUGUUAUUAGGGAAGAACAUAUGUGUAAGUAACUGUGCACAUCUUGACGGUACCUAAUCAGAAAGCCACGGCUAACUACGUGCCAGCAGCCGCGGUAAUACGUAGGUGGCAAGCGUUAUCCGGAAUUAUUGGGCGUAAGCGCGCGUAGGCGGUUUUUUAAGUCUGAUGUGAAAGCCCACGGCUCAACCGUGGAGGGUCAUUGGAAACUGGAAAACUUGAGUGCAGAAGAGGAAAGUGGAAUUCCAUGUGUAGCGGUGAAAUGCGCAGAGAUAUGGAGGAACACCAGUGGCGAAGGCGACUUUCUGGUCUGUAACUGACGCUGAUGUGCGAAAGCGUGGGGAUCAAACAGGAUUAGAUACCCUGGUAGUCCACGCCGUAAACGAUGAGUGCUAAGUGUUAGGGGGUUUCCGCCCCUUAGUGCUGCAGCUAACGCAUUAAGCACUCCGCCUGGGGAGUACGACCGCAAGGUUGAAACUCAAAGGAAUUGACGGGGACCCGCACAAGCGGUGGAGCAUGUGGUUUAAUUCGAAGCAACGCGAAGAACCUUACCAAAUCUUGACAUCCUUUGACAACUCUAGAGAUAGAGCCUUCCCCUUCGGGGGACAAAGUGACAGGUGGUGCAUGGUUGUCGUCAGCUCGUGUCGUGAGAUGUUGGGUUAAGUCCCGCAACGAGCGCAACCCUUAAGCUUAGUUGCCAUCAUUAAGUUGGGCACUCUAAGUUGACUGCCGGUGACAAACCGGAGGAAGGUGGGGAUGACGUCAAAUCAUCAUGCCCCUUAUGAUUUGGGCUACACACGUGCUACAAUGGACAAUACAAAGGGCAGCGAAACCGCGAGGUCAAGCAAAUCCCAUAAAGUUGUUCUCAGUUCGGAUUGUAGUCUGCAACUCGACUACAUGAAGCUGGAAUCGCUAGUAAUCGUAGAUCAGCAUGCUACGGUGAAUACGUUCCCGGGUCU
RNAcentral lists this ribosomal RNA (1371 nucleotides) under uncultured bacterium. RNAcentral's name for it is "bacterial SSU rRNA". It matches the Rfam family "Bacterial small subunit ribosomal RNA", at positions 28 to 1381 of the family's 1533-position model. The record is from RNAcentral.